This is a long non-coding RNA of Thalassophryne amazonica, 161 nucleotides long. RefSeq lists it as uncharacterized. The transcript is spliced from 3 exons. The record is from RefSeq and is a predicted model, not a curated record. Lineage: Eukaryota; Metazoa; Chordata; Actinopteri; Batrachoidiformes; Batrachoididae.
AGAAGAAGAAGGAAUGUUCACAACUUAGAUUCCGUCUGGGAGUUCAGGUUGGCGGCCACUCCAUAGGUUUGACGACACAGACGAGAAGGUUCCUGCUGAUUCUACCCGAUACUCCAUAAAGGGAGCCGCAGCCUGAGAUUCCUGUGAGAACCGCAGAAAAA